This 466-nucleotide ribosomal RNA is filed under the name uncultured bacterium. Its description in RNAcentral is "partial 16S ribosomal RNA". It matches the Rfam family "Bacterial small subunit ribosomal RNA", at positions 28 to 507 of the family's 1533-position model. The record is from RNAcentral.
GAUGAACGCUGGCGGCGUGCUUAACACAUGCAAGUCGAACGGAAAGGCCCAAGCUUGCUUGGGUACUCGAGUGGCGAACGGGUGAGUAACACGUGGGUGAUCUGCCCUGCACUUCGGGAUAAGCCUGGGAAACUGGGUCUAAUACCGGAUAGGACCACAUCUUGGAUGGUGUGGUGGAAAGGUUUUCGGUGUGGGAUGAGCUCGCGGCCUAUCAGCUUGUUGGUGGGGUAAUGGCCUACCAAGGCGUCGACGGGUAGCCGGCCUGAGAGGGUGGACGGCCACAUUGGGACUGAGAUACGGCCCAGGCUCCUACGGGAGGCAGCAGGGGGGAAUAUUGCACAAUGGGCGCAAGCCUGAUGCAGCGACGCCGCGUGGGGGAUGACGGCCUUCGGGUUGUAAACUCCUUUCGCUAGGGACGAAGCGUUAUGUGACGGUACCUGGAGAAGAAGCACCGGCUAACUACGUG